RNAcentral lists this small nuclear RNA (23 nucleotides) under Arabidopsis thaliana (thale cress). RNAcentral describes it as "snRNA_11115". Lineage: Eukaryota; Viridiplantae; Streptophyta; Magnoliopsida; Brassicales; Brassicaceae. The record is from RNAcentral.
UUUAAUGGGGAUGCUAGCUAAAA